AAGUGCCGAGUGCAGGAGAGGAAUGGAGCUGGAGGGUGGACAGGGAGGAUUCACACAGACCCGGUGUAGGACUCCAAACCCGGAUUAGAAACUCUCGGAGCCGAGUUUACACCGAGUGUUUGGAAACUCCUUUUCUAGGGGGUUAGAAAGGGAGGAUAUACACACAGCAAACUCAAACCAAGAGAAAUGUUUGUCUCUUCUCAAUUUCUACCCUGGACUGACAGUGAUGGGUUUUUCAAGAAUCUCUAUUUCACAGGAUAUUGAAAGGGAAGGAUUUGCUGACGGGAAAACUCAAGCCAAACAGCACAUUGUGAUCUGAUACAGUCAUUUGAUUCACCAGAACCUGAAUAUCAUCAGCCUUUGGCUGUGGAAGGAAAAAGGUUUGACAUUCAUCCGUGACACCAGAAAAGAGAUCCAAUGCUCUGCCUACAAGAUCCAGGGCCUCCGAUGACAUCGCCUGGCUACUCUCAGUUAACUCCAUCUGCAAGAGAAACUCUGCAAACUCUGUUUCUUGUUCCCAGGAGAUCAGUCUAAGCUCUGCUGUGACACUAAGCAAGGGAGGCAGUGUUCCUGUACAUGGGGGCAGGUUCACCUCCUCAUCAACCAAUCUCUGAAUUCCCAUCUUUCUCCAUCCAACCUCCACACACACCAGUGAGUUCAGACUGGAGAGAGAGGGUUUAAAUGCUUAGGCUGUGACAAGUGCUUUAAAAAUUCACAUUCACUGAUGUUUCACCAGACCAUUCACUGCUCUCACUACAGGUGGAGGUUCAGGUGAUUGACAAUCCUGCUGCUACACCAGUGAGUUCACACCAGGGAGAGAUCAUUCACCUGCUCCAUGUAUGGGGAGGGAUUCAUUGAUUCAUCCAACCUGUUGACACAAGUGAGUUCACACUGAUGGAAGAUCUUUUGAAUGUCUGGAUUGCAGGAAAUGUUAUAAAUGUUCAAUGGAGUUGAUGUGCCAUCAAUGUGUUCACACUGAUGAGAGACAGUUCAGAUGCUCUCACUGGGUUCAGGUGAUCAUGUGAGUUCAGUGUCCACAAGUGCACUCACACUGGGGAGAGAGGCUGUUCAUUUGUUCCUUGUGUGAGAAGAGAUUCACUUAUUCAUCCCACUUCACUACAAAUCGACUUGUUCACACUGAGAAGAAACCUUUUUAAAGUUCUCACUAUGAGCGGAGAUUUGAAAGCAAAAUGGAUUCGCUGAAACACAAACAUAUUCACACUGGGGAGAGGCUCUUCACCUGUGUGUGGGAAGAGAUUCACUUACUGAGACACAAGCGGGGUUGGAUUCUGCUGUCAUUGCUGCUGUCAAUCACAUCAAGGACUGAACCAUGUUCAUUCUGAGAGUUGGGGUAUGCUUCUGCUCAUGUUAAUAAUCCCUGAAACCGGGCUGGUGUUUAAUAUUCUGGAUAAAUGUGAAAUAAAUCACUUACAGUUCAA
Molecule: long non-coding RNA, 1439 nt
Organism: Carcharodon carcharias (great white shark)
Lineage: Eukaryota; Metazoa; Chordata; Chondrichthyes; Lamniformes; Lamnidae
Exons: 2
Source: RefSeq, a predicted model, not a curated record